CAGGGAGACAAAAACUGAUCAUGAUUUCUGAGUUCAAAACCUCAGUCCUUGAUCCUGUCACCUUAGGUCGAUCGGUACCUCAAAUUAAUUUCUUGAAUCCCCUUAAAAGGUUUCUUGAAUUCGUUUCAGCUCCUAAACUUGUCUAGGUCACACCCCGCAAGGGUUACUCCUGGGCCAUUAGCUCAGGUGGUUAGAGCGCACCCCUGAUAAGGGUGAGGUCCCUGGUUCAAGUCCAGGAUGGCCCAUUCGGUUUUGGGGGUUUAGCUCAGUUGGUAGAGCGCCUGCUUUGCAAGCAGGAUGUCAGCGGUUCGAGUCCGCUAACCUCCACUGGCGGCACCCCCUUUAUGACCCCAUCCUGAGUACCAAUGCGAGAUGUGAUUUAGAUAAUUCAGCUGAUUGAACCUAGCUUCUUAUCAUUCCAAUCCAAUUUUAUUUUGGAUUUGGUUGACAGGACGCUGGGCUCAUUGGGAUUUUUCAAAGUUCCAAUUAUGUUCAGCGGAACCUUGACAACUGCAUAGGUGAGUCUGGAAAAGAAAAAAGCAUCUCAUGGAUGCAUAAUUUCUUUUUUAGAAAUUAUGAUGAAUUCUUGAGCAAGAGCUGAGACUCUAUAACAAUCUUUUGAUGUAAAAAUCAUCAAGAGUCAGAUCAGUAAUUCAAUUUGGAAUCACUGAGAAUACGUAUUUAAUUGCGUGAAAUUGUUUUAGAGAUUAUUUU
RNAcentral lists this transfer RNA (714 nucleotides) under uncultured cyanobacterium. RNAcentral's name for it is "partial 16S-23S ribosomal RNA intergenic spacer". The stretch from base 255 to 327 matches the Rfam family "tRNA". Lineage: Bacteria; Bacillati; Cyanobacteriota. The record is from RNAcentral.